RNAcentral lists this long non-coding RNA (285 nucleotides) under Pan troglodytes (chimpanzee). Its description in RNAcentral is "long non-coding RNA NONPTRT017149". The record is from RNAcentral. Lineage: Eukaryota; Metazoa; Chordata; Mammalia; Primates; Hominidae.
AAGAGGCAAGAUAAGGCAUUUGCAAUUGGCAGUGUUUCAAAGGACUCCAGAUUUCUCCAAAGAACCUAGAUUUCCCAGGUACUGAACAUGUGCAAAAUAGAAACAAACAUUCAAGAUGAGUGAGUGAUGAGUUCUGCCUGUGGUCAGAAGAAAACAACACUCCCAACUCUGCAACCUGAUCACAUCCCUACUUAGUCCUGUUUGUGGAGCCGCCUUAUUAACGACAUUAGAACAAAGAUAUGAAGGAAAGUCAGGAUAUGAUUGCUAAAGGAAGAGAAAAAAAAA